UACAAUAUAUGAAAAUGAUGAAUCAGGAAAUAGAAUGGAAAAUUAAACAAAUGAGACAAAAGACAUUUAAUGUGGGAAAUUGUUGGCCUGGCAAAUGAAAAGAAGACAAAAACUAAACACUAUUAUAAAUCUAGAAGUGGAAGGAAAGAACAUACAGAACCCAGUCGAGAUUAGAAACUGUUUCCAGAGGUACUUUAAACAAUUAUAUACACAAGGGCCACAGAAAGAAAUUGAUAUAGAUCGAUUUUUGAAAAUAAAUGGAUUACAAAAAUCUCUCAAGAAAACAAAUUAAUGUUGAAUUAUAAAAUAACUGAACAGGAGGUAGAAGGUGCCAUUCAGAAUAUGCAAUUAGGUAAAUCUCCAGGACCGGAUGGAUUGACUUCUAGAUACUACAGAUCUUUAAAAGAAUGGUUGGUACAACCUUUAAAGGAAGUCUGUAAUGAAAUAUUGGAUGGGAAAAGGGCACCAGAGUCGUGGAAGGAAGCGUACAUCACACUUAUACCGAAAACAGAGACUGAAAAGAUGCAACUCAAGAACUACCGCCCCAUAUCACUGCUUAAUGUGGAUUAUAAAAUCUUUGCAGAUAUUUUGGCUAAAAGACUAAAAAAAGUGCUAGUGGAAGAGAUUCAUAAAGACCAAACAGGCUUUCUCCCGGGUAGACACUUGUCUGAUAAUAUGAGAAAUAUAAUUAAUAUUUUAGAAAAAUUACAAGUGAAUAUUAAUACCAAGGCAGUUUUGAUAUUUGUGGAUGCGGAGAAAGCUUUUGACAACAUUUCUUGGAGUUUUAUGAAGAAGAACCUACAGGGGAUGGGGGUAGGUCAAGGCUUUGGAAAUGGUAUAAGUGCAAUUUAUUCAGAACAAAAGGCUAAAUUAAUUGUCAAUAACGUGGUGACGGAGGAAUUCAAGAUAGAAAAAGGGACACGACAAGGUUGCCCAAUCUCCCCAUUGCUUUUUAUAUCGGUCCUGGAGGUCCUGUUGAAUAUGAUUAGAAGGGACCAAUUGGUUAAAGGUAUACAAGUCGGAGCUAAACAGUACAAAUUGAGAGCAUUUGCAGAUGACUUAGUAUUGACAUUACAGGAGCCAGAAUCUAGUACUAAAAGAGUCUUGGAACUGAUUCAAGAAUUUGGUCAGGUUGCGGGAUUUAAACUGAAUAAGUUAAAAACAAAGGUCUUAGAGAAAAAUUUAACAGCGAUUGAGAGAGAGAGGUUUCAGAAUGAGACAGGUUUAACAGUGGUUAAGAAAGUGAAAUACCUGGGGAUUAACAUGACAGCUAAAAAUGGGAAUUUAUUUAAAGACAAUUAUGAAAAAUGCUGGACUGAAGUGAAAAAAAGAUUUAGAAAUUUGGUCAAAUUUGAAGCUUUCACUGCUAGGACGUAUUGCUGCGAUAAAAAUGAAUGUAUUGCCUAGAAUGUUGUUUUUGUUUCAAACAUUGCAAAUUUUGGACAAAAUGGAUUGCUUCAAGAAGUGGCAGAGAGAUAUUUCUAGAUUUGUCUGGCAGGGCAAGAAGCCUAGAAUAAAAUUUAAAAUACUAACGGACGCAAAGGAAAGAGGUGGAUUUGCCCUGCCAGACCUUAAACUUUAUUAUGAAUCAGCAGCUUUUUGCUGGCUGAAAGAGUGGCUACUUCUUGAAAACACAGACAUUUUGGAUUUAGAAGGUUUUAAUAAUGUAUUUGGAUGGCAUUUAAAAAUCAUAUUGUCAGGAAAGCAUUGUUUAAUGUCUGGAUAAGAUACAAGGACCUACUUGAAAAUAAAACCCCAAGGUGGUUGUCACCGAUGGAAGCGAAGGCUCUGAAAAAGCUCAAUAUGGAGGCCAAAUGGCCGAAAUAUUGGGAAAUUUUGGAACAAGAGGGAGAUAAAUUGAAACUGCAGAGUUUUGAAAAACUAAAAAAUAAAGUGCGAGAUUGGCUUCAUUAUUAUCAGAUAAUGGAGGCAUAUAAUUUGGAUAAGAAAAUUGGCUUCCAGGUGGAAAAAUCAAAAUUGGAAACAGAACUGUUAGAUUCCAAAACCAAGAUUUUGUCAAAGAUGUAUAACUUGCUGUUGAAAUGGAAUACUCAGGAUGAAACGGUGAAAUCUGCUAUGAUUAAAUGGGCACAAGAUGUUGGACAUAACAUAAUGAUGGCUGACUGGGAACAGUUAUGGACCACAGGUAUGAAGUUUACGGCAUGUAAUGCCUUAAGAGAGAAUAUAAUGAAAAUGAUCUACAGGUGGUACAUGACACCAGUCAAGCUUGCAAAAAUCUAUCAUUUGCCCAAUAAUAAAUGUUGGAAAUGUAAAGAAACUGAAGGUACAUUCUUUCACCUUUGGUGGACGUGCCCAAGGAUUAAGGCUUUCUGGGAGAUGAUCUAUAAUGAAAUGAAAAAGGUAUUUAAAUAUACCUUCCUGAAGAAACCAGAGGCCUUUCUCCUGGGCAUAAUUGGCUAAUUGGUGCCAAAGAAGGACAGAACUUUCUUUAUGUAUGCCACAACAGCAGCAAGAAUUCUUAUUGCAAAGUACUGGAAGACACAAGAUUUACCCACUCUGGAAGAAUGGCAGAUGAAGGUGAUGGACUAUAUGGAACUGGCGGAAAUGACUGGCAGAAUCCGAGACCAGGGAGAAGAGUUGGUGGAAGAAGAUUGGAAGAAAUUUAAAGACUAUCUACAGAAAUACUGCAAAAUUAAUGAAUGUUAGAAUGAUGUUGGAUUGAAGUUAAAUGGUUUCUAGCAGCAAUGUUAUAAAGGAAUAUGUAAAAAUGGAUUGUUAACAGGUGAUAAUCUAAAGUUACAAUAUAUUAAGAUAAAAGAUUAAGAUAGAAUCAAAGAGGGAAAGGAUUUGCUGAAUUAACUAAUUUGAACUGGAAUACAAAAAAGGGAGGUGUGAGGAGGUCGGGGAAACAAGCAAAUGAAAGAUAAGAUAUGGAAAGACUAAUCUGUCUUUUAACUGUUUUUAUUUUGUAUUUUCAUUUUCUAUUUGUUUUCUCUUUUUUUUUCUUUUUUCGCUUAUUUUUGUAAUAUGCUGAAACUUUAAUAAAUAUCUUAUAAAAAUAUAUAUAUAUCUAGGGGUCGUAAUAGGCCAUAAUGGGUCCAGUGGGCAAGAAGGUGGUUUCUGCACAUAGUGCAGAGGGAAGUGAGGGGCAGAUGGGGAUCAUCAACCUUGGAAAGUAUUCCAUCUAGGAGAAGGAAAACUCUCCAUCGCAAGGAAACACAGGACAAUUUUGAUUAACAAAAGACUAGGAAACGAAUUUGUAUCUUCAGAU
This 3232-nucleotide long non-coding RNA is filed under the name Podarcis lilfordi (Lilford's wall lizard). The record is from RNAcentral. Lineage: Eukaryota; Metazoa; Chordata; Lepidosauria; Squamata; Lacertidae.